ACGUUGCUUAGGCCUAAAUUUAUACUUAAGCAAAUAUUAAUGAAGCUUAAAAGUUUCUUUGAUGCUAUUUUCCAAGUAUUUAUUUUACGAAAAAUAAUUUUGAAAAUAGUUUGAAAUUAGGAAAAAAAAGAUAAUAACCUAGACAUUGGGCAAAUUAAUGCUUCAUACUAUAAAUUUCAUAAACAAACUAGCAUAAAUAUAAUUUUCUUCAACAAAUAAGCA
RNAcentral lists this unclassified non-coding RNA (222 nucleotides) under Hevea brasiliensis (rubber tree). The record is from RNAcentral. Lineage: Eukaryota; Viridiplantae; Streptophyta; Magnoliopsida; Malpighiales; Euphorbiaceae.